AGUGAACGCUGGCGGUAGGCCUAACACAUGCCAGUCGAACGGCAGCACAGUAAGAGCUUGCUCUUACGGGUGGCGAGUGGCGGACGGGUGAGGAAUACAUCGGAAUCUACUUUUUCGUGGGGGAUAACGUAGGGAAACUUACGCUAAUACCGCAUACGACCUACGGGUGAAAGCAGGGGAUCUUCGGACCUUGCGCGAUUGAAUGAGCCGAUGUCGGAUUAGCUAGUUGGCGGGGUAAAGGCCCACCAAGGCGACGAUCCGUAGCUGGUCUGAGAGGAUGAUCAGCCACACUGGAACUGAGACACGGUCCAGACUCCUACGGGAGGCAGCAGUGGGGAAUAUUGGACAAUGGGCGCAAGCCUGAUCCAGCCAUACCGCGUGGGUGAAGAAGGCCUUCGGGUUGUAAAGCCCUUUUGUUGGGAAAGAAAAGCAGCAGGUUAAUACCCCACUGUUCUGACGGUACCCAAAGAAUAAGCACCGGCUAACUUCGUG
RNAcentral lists this ribosomal RNA (492 nucleotides) under uncultured bacterium. RNAcentral's name for it is "partial 16S ribosomal RNA". It matches the Rfam family "Bacterial small subunit ribosomal RNA", at positions 29 to 507 of the family's 1533-position model. The record is from RNAcentral.